AAAUGCGAUAAGUAAUGUGAAUUGCAGAAUUCAAUGAAUCAUCGAAUCUUUGAACGCACCUUGCGCUCCUUGGUAUUCCUUGGAGCAUGCCUGUUUGAGUAUCAUGAAAUCUUCAAAGUAAAUCUUUUGUUAACUCAAUUGGUUUCUACUUUGGUAUUGGAGGUCUUUGCAGCUUCACACCUGCUCCUCUUUGUUCAUUAGCUGGAUCUCAGUGUUAUGCUUGGUUCCACUCGGCGUGAUAAGUUAUCUAUCGCUGAGGACACUGUAAAAGGUGGCCAAGGUAAAUGCAGAUGAACCGCUUCUAAUAGUCCAUUGACUUGGACAAUACUUUUAUGAUCUGAUCUCAAAUCAGGUAGGACUACCCGCUGAACUUAAGC
Molecule: unclassified non-coding RNA, 377 nt
Filed under: plant metagenome
Description: partial contains 5.8S ribosomal RNA, internal transcribed spacer 2, and large subunit ribosomal RNA
Rfam family: 5.8S ribosomal RNA (bases 1-104)
Source: RNAcentral